CCAAAUCUGCUUGACACUAUAGAGCUGACACCCGGUUGGUCCUCAAGUCAGCUGAAGAUUAGGAUUAAAGCCGGUACAACACUAUUCCAGAACGUAACUGCUGGUCGUCUUGUUAGAGUUGCAAUACAGUGCCGAAAUGACGCUCCUAACGUUCAGUUGACAAGCUCAUGUGUUGUGUUCCAGGUCCAUGGGGCAAUUGAAUGUCCGUACCCUUGGCCGACUCUAUCACCAGCAUUAAACGCAGCAACCUUGCCAACACCUGUAUCAAUAAGAUCUGACGCAACAGGAACUCUUCCGCCAGUGACCACGCCAGCGAAAGAACCAAGGACAACCGUGGAACGUAUUGUAAGUCAGAAGAGCACAUUUAUUAUUGUCGGAUCGGUGGCUGGAGGCCUUCUGUUUAUUGCCUUGAUACUGCUCAUCUUAUGGCGUUGCAAAAUUUCGAAGUAUACUCUGUUCCCAUAAAUAUGACGAACCACUUCAAGACGUCAGCUGCUGUGGACUACGGAUUACGCCUGAAGAAUAGAAUCCAAGAAAAUUUACGUUUACCAGAUUGGCAAGAUUUGUACUGAUGAUAUGCUGGUGUCAGUAAUCCAUUUUGACUUCCGUAAAACUUUAGAGAGACGCAGCUUUGAGAAACGUCUGAUAUUCAAACAUCAGGCCCUACAUCCGAGGGAGACUCAAUAUUGACUUGCAUUCGGAUCACUGAUGAAGAGGCAGGAACCUCUAUGCCUAUGGUUGUUUGAAAUUUUCCCGCGCAUAUUACAAGAACAUUGAGUAUCUUUUGUAGAUUGUAUACGCUCCCUGUGGUAGGACUUAAAUGUAAUUUUCUCAGGGUAGAUGGAAUGGGCAAGCACGGGACGCGCGGGAAAACUAUCUCGCAAGAGGAGAGCACGAAGCUCCUGCGCGUCGCGUCUCCUCGUGGGAGGUGAUUUUCGCAAGCCUACCCAGACCAACAACCAGCACCUGUCAUAUUUGUGAAGCUUAUUUGGCAAUCAGAUCAGCUGUCCGUUUGGAAGAGAAAAAGAUGUAUUUGGUACGAGAUUACCCGGCGAGAACAAGUUAAACUGCCAAACUGUUAAAUCAAUUAAAUAGCAUACUGAGCUUAAUUUUUGAACCAAAUUAUAAAAUAAAACUGACAAAUAUCAACAACUUCAGUGAUUUUCAAACAAAAAUGUUUUUACAUUAAAAUUUGCAGGCAUUUGGGAAACUCUUCGACAUCCCUGAAGUUGAAAAGAAUAAAAUCAGACGAUUCCAUUGACGAGGACUCAGUGGCUGAAGAGAAAACAAUCUCUGAAAGCUCUUCUCCGUCACCAGAUGGUGUCGAGGAAAGAGGUUGAUAUUAGCAACGCUUUUAUUUAUAUCAGGAGUUCAUAUCCAUAUUGUACUAUGCCAUAAAAAAUAGAGUCCAUAAGAAUACAGGAAAGCCGUUGUGUUUGACUCGUGGGAUAUUCCAUGGCAUAUCAAUCGAAAGUAUUGCAUAACUAGAACAUCGAUAUUGGUAAUUUAAAUUGCUUACAACUGAAAACCAAACUUUUCUCUUUGACCAAUCACUAAGGACAUAGACAAUCCGACACUCAAGUCCUAAUCAGAGUGCAGUGUCUUUUUACCAAGUCAUAAUGUGACCAUUCAGCCCUCAUUCAAAUUCAAAGAAAGUCUUUUUAGCAGCAGAUUCGAUUCACGGAGUGAUGUCUGUUUUUAAUUUAUAAAAUGUAAGUUAGGACUUCAUAGUUUUAAACCUUACUUUUCAUAGGGCUCCUUUUGAUAACAGUCAUCUUUGAAUCUGACCGGGUUACCCUUGCUUAAUUAAAUGAAGGGGUCUGCAUGGAACCCAGGAACCCAGAGCUUAAUUUUGGUCUGGGCGAUUUCAGCGAUAUAUAACCUUUUUUCUCAAUAAGAUACAUGUAAAGAUCGAUUUCUCCACGUUAAUAUUCUAAAAGGCAAACAGCAAUCUGCUUUGUGCAUGUUCUGUAUUGUUCUUAUAAGAUCUAUGCAUUAUCAAGGCGAUAUUUUAGAACAAUAAGGCUUAAAAUAGGACCAUGUUAUUUUACUUGUCUCACUUAAUUCAGUCCUUGUCUCUCCAGCAAAUGAGGUAGAGGGCUUCUACUACAGCUUUCAACCAGACCGAGCUUUGUUUUUGCAUUCGGCCUAGUAGGAUGUUAAUAAGAAAAACUUAACGUUUACAGUCUCACAAACUUAAUUACUUCCAUUACCCCAGCCUUAAAAGCCAUAUUUUAUUUCGCUUGGACCCUCUCAAACUGACUGCCAGCCCAACCCUCCAAUAUUUAGUAAAACAAUGAACAGACUCUAGCUCCGUGAAAACACAUAGUCACAUACUUACGGAUAGGGAGGGAGGAAGCAAGUUAACCCAAGCAUUUGAAUUAUAUUCUAGAAAUAGUGUGAUCUCUAUAGGUAAAUCAAAUGAUUUUGAGUACAAUUUGGAAUAAGUGAGCACGUUAUUUUUUCAUAGACAAAUCUUGAAUUUGAGCCCGUAGGGCGAGUGGAAUUUGUAGUCUUUGAGAAUUUAAAGUGCUUAUUUAUUCCAAAUUGCACGAGAAAAAGCAUUCGAUUACUUGUUGACAAUAUGAUGAUAAUUCAAUUACAACUAUCUACGCUGUCUGGGAUUGAUUGGCGUGCUCUCAGCCAAUCAGCAUGCUGAUAUUUUUGCAUGUAUAUUAUAUUCACUUGCUUGUUUUCUCUUUAUCGGCACCCUUUUGGAACUAUAGUUGUUCGCUUUUGGUUGUUUCAUCCACCUAAAUAACAUGUCACAACAAGCUUCUCAUGAUACAAACCGCAAAGUCAAUACGAUACAAUGAGAAUAUUAUGUUGUGAUCAACUGUUCACAGGCUAAUACUGACUGACUGACUGACUGACUGAC
Long non-coding RNA from Orbicella faveolata, 2878 nucleotides. NCBI's taxonomy places the organism in Eukaryota, Metazoa, Cnidaria, Anthozoa, Scleractinia, Merulinidae. The record is from RefSeq and is a predicted model, not a curated record.